GGGUGCCUAGGGAGCGCGGGGAAGGGCUAAGGCCAGGCUGGGCGGGUGAGGCGAGGGAUGCCAGUGCCCUCCCUGACCCGGCGCCGGGCUCCUUGGAGUCAUCAUCACACCGCCGCGCUUUCCCGCCACUAGGAGCGAGUCCUCCCCUCGACCAAUCAGCGUCAGGCGGCUGGGGAGGGCGGGGCAGGGGCGCCGACGGGCGCGGGGAUUGGUGGAGCGGCCGUCCGCCCGGCGCAUGCCGGGAGUGGCAGUGGCCCCCCGCGCUGCAGCCGGCAUCGCGGCGGGACCCGGAGCCUGGAGUUCGGGGGAGGAGAGAGGAGGACGCGAAUCACACCCGCUGCUGCCCCCCAGCCCGCCCCGUCUGUACAAUGGGAUGCUCGGGACUCGGACGGGAGGAUCCAGUGACUGCGAGCCCCGCAUUCGCCCGAUCCCAGCCUCACACCCCCAGCCAGCCCCCAGAGACCCUCCCACACUUACGAAGGAAAUGCAUGCGGCCAGGAGGAGAAUCCGCACCAGGAGGUCUUCAAACUGCUCUAUCACCAGCUCCCACAGGGUCUUCCCUGGGGGAGGAGGCAAGGGGAGGGCCCCGGGUUAAGGUCUAGUGGGUGAAGGUCUGGGAUGGAGCGCCCUGCACUCCGGCCUGCAGUGGGGAGGCUCUAGGGUGGUGGGCAGACAGCUUGGUGCCCAGAGAAGGGCUAAGAAGCUCGCCUGGAGUCCAGAAACAGACUCGGCAAAGUGGGGGGCAGUUCAAGGGUUGGCUGCUUCAAGGAGAAAGCGCCUGGGAGACUUCUGCCCCGGACAGGACUCUAACCUUUAGGGAGGGAGAUUUGCCUUUUGGGAAGGGGUAUUUGCUCAAAGAAUCUAAAGAGGCAGGGAGGAGGGAGUGGGACAGGGCGGGGUGGGGGGUGGUCAUUUAUGAGAGUUCAGGGAUUUCAGUAACUUACCUUCCUCAGCAGGGAGCUCUACCCAGGAAAAAGAAGAAAAGGACAGAUUCAUUUGGGGUUCAGCCUCAUGCCCCCCACACCCAAGACUUUGUGGCUAAGAUAAGAGAAUCAGGCCACCUUGAGGUUCAUCAAGGUCAUCCCAUUAAAACCUCCCAAAACUCUGGA
Pan troglodytes (chimpanzee) is the source of this 1109-nucleotide long non-coding RNA. RefSeq lists it as uncharacterized. The transcript is spliced from 2 exons. NCBI's taxonomy places the organism in Eukaryota, Metazoa, Chordata, Mammalia, Primates, Hominidae. The record is from RefSeq and is a predicted model, not a curated record.